Micropterus salmoides (largemouth bass) is the source of this 509-nucleotide long non-coding RNA. RefSeq lists it as uncharacterized. The transcript is spliced from 2 exons. The record is from RefSeq and is a predicted model, not a curated record. NCBI's taxonomy places the organism in Eukaryota, Metazoa, Chordata, Actinopteri, Centrarchiformes, Centrarchidae.
CACAACCCCUGAAAAGGUUGGGAAGUUCUCCUUUCCCGAAUAUGUACCGCACACCGACACAGAACUUGACAACAGUACUUUGAGUUGUGGAAGAGAGGCCAACGGGCAACUGGCAGAUGUCAAAGGAGCUCAGAUGGCGGCUCGUUCCAAACACCGUGAGCAGUAUGACUGCAAUCCUGAGGGCAAAGGGGGAGAAAGAAUCACACAGAUCCCCAUCAAAGCCAGAAAUGACAGCAACGGCAAAGAGAAUAGUGCUGCAGGACCAAGGCCUCCAUACAUGGGUCACUGCCUACUCACAGCUAUACAAACGAUUGCAAAAUGUGAGCUCCCCCCAAAAAGAGCUGCAGAUGGGAGACAUUCAAAGAGGUGAGCUGUAACUAAUGAUUCUUUUCUGCUGAUCACUUGUCUGGUCAAUAUAAAGUCCGAGGUGAUGUCCUCAAAAGUCUCGUUUGGUCCACAACCUAAAGAUGUUCAUUUCCCCGUCAUGGAGGACUGAAGAAGCUAGAAAA